CGCCCGCUCAGAAACUUAAAGGAAUUGACGGGGACCCGCACAAGCGGUGGAUGAUGUGGUUUAAUUCGAUGCAACGCGAAAAACCUUACCCACCUUUGACAUGUACGGAAUCCUUUAGAGAUAGAGGAGUGCUCGAAAGAGAGCCGUAACACAGGUGCUGCAUGGCUGUCGUCAGCUCGUGUCGUGAGAUGUUGGGUUAAGUCCCGCAACGAGCGCAACCCUUGUCAUUAGUUGCUACAUUCAGUUGGGCACUCUAAUGAGACUGCCGGUGACAAGCCGGAGGAAGGUGGGGAUGACGUCAAGUCCUCAUGGCCCUUAUAGGUGGGGCUACACACGUCAUACAAUGGCUGGUACAAAGGGUUGCCAACCCGCGAGGGGGAGCUAAUCCCACAAAGCCAGUCGUAGUCCGGAUCGUAGUCUGCAACUCGACUACGUGAAGUCGGAAUCGCUAGUAAUCGUGGAUCAGAAUGUCACGGUGAAUACGUUCCCGGGUCUU
Molecule: ribosomal RNA, 496 nt
Filed under: uncultured Rhodoferax sp.
Lineage: Bacteria; Pseudomonadati; Pseudomonadota; Betaproteobacteria; Burkholderiales; Comamonadaceae
Description: bacterial SSU rRNA
Rfam family: Bacterial small subunit ribosomal RNA
Source: RNAcentral